UACGAAGGGGGCUAGCGUUGCUCGGAAUUACUGGGCGUAAAGGGCUCGUAGGCGGUUUGUCGCGUCGGGAGUGAAAUCCACUGGCUUAACUGGUGGCUUGCUUUCGAUACGGGCAGACUGGAGGUAUGCAGGGGGAGAACGGAAUUCCUGGUGUAGCGGUGAAAUGCGUAGAGAUCGGGAGGAACACCAGUGGCGAAGGCGGCUACCUGGACCAGCACUGACACUCAGGCACGAAAAGCGUGGGGGAGCAAAACAGGG
This 258-nucleotide ribosomal RNA is filed under the name uncultured bacterium. Its description in RNAcentral is "partial 16S ribosomal RNA". It matches the Rfam family "Bacterial small subunit ribosomal RNA", at positions 524 to 777 of the family's 1533-position model. The record is from RNAcentral.